GACGAACGCUGGCGGCGUGCUUAACACAUGCAAGUCGAACGAUGAAGGGGAGCUUGCUUCCUGGAUUAGUGGCGAACGGGUGAGUAACACGUGAGUAACCUGCCCUGGACUCUGGGAUAACUCCGAGAAAUCGGUGCUAAUACCGGAUAGGACCUGGAACCGCAUGGUUUUGGGUGGAAAGUUUUUCGGCUGGGAUGGAC
RNAcentral lists this ribosomal RNA (200 nucleotides) under uncultured bacterium. Its description in RNAcentral is "partial 16S ribosomal RNA". It matches the Rfam family "Bacterial small subunit ribosomal RNA", at positions 28 to 230 of the family's 1533-position model. The record is from RNAcentral.